RNAcentral lists this ribosomal RNA (496 nucleotides) under uncultured bacterium. Its description in RNAcentral is "partial 16S ribosomal RNA". It matches the Rfam family "Bacterial small subunit ribosomal RNA", at positions 28 to 506 of the family's 1533-position model. The record is from RNAcentral.
GAUGAACGCUGGCGGCGUGCCUAAUACAUGCAAGUCGAGCGAACAGACGAGGAGCUUGCUCCUCUGACGUUAGCGGCGGACGGGUGAGUAACACGUGGAUAACCUACCUAUAAGACUGGGAUAACUUCGGGAAACCGGAGCUAAUACCGGAUAAUAUAUUGAACCGCAUGGUUCAAUAGUGAAAGACGGUUUUGCUGUCACUUAUAGAUGGAUCCGCGCCGCAUUAGCUAGUUGGUAAGGUAACGGCUUACCAAGGCAACGAUGCGUAGCCGACCUGAGAGGGUGACCGCCCCCCCGGAACCUGAGACCGGGCCAAGCCCCUUCGGGGAGGCAGCAGUGGGAAUUCUUCGGCAAUGGGCGAAACCUUGACGGAGCACCGCGCGGUGAGUGAUGAAGGCCUUCGAUUCGUAAACCCCUGUUAUUAGGAAAAACCAAAUGUGUAAGUAACUAUGCACGUCUGGACGGUACCUAUCCAGAAAGCCCCGGCUAACUCCGU